CAGUAGCCGCGGGAAUACAGAGGGUGCAAGCGUUAAUCGGAAUUACUGGGCGUAAAGCGCGCGUAGGUGGUUUGUUAAGUUGGAUGUGAAAGCCCCGGGCUCAACCUGGGAACUGCAUCCAAAACUGGCAAGCUAGAGUACGGUAGAGGGUGGUGGAAUUUCCUGUGUAGCGGUGAAAUGCGUAGAUAUAGGAAGGAACACCAGUGGCGAAGGCGACCACCUGGACUGAUACUGACACUGAGGUGCGAAAGCGUGGGGAGCAAACAGGAUUAGAUACCCCAGUAGUCCCUGUCUCUUAUAC
RNAcentral lists this ribosomal RNA (301 nucleotides) under uncultured bacterium. RNAcentral describes it as "partial 16S ribosomal RNA". It matches the Rfam family "Bacterial small subunit ribosomal RNA", at positions 509 to 807 of the family's 1533-position model. The record is from RNAcentral.